AAUCAACGCUGGCGGCAUGCCUAACACAUGCAAGUCGAACGGGAAAGUGGGAGCAAUCCCAUGAGUAUAGUGGCGCACGGGUGAGUAACACGUGACUAACCUACCCUCGAGUGGGGAAUAACCCCGGGAACCGGGGCUAACACCGCAUAAUACCGCAAGGUCAAAUGCGCAAGCAGCUUGAGGAGGGGGUCGCGGUUGAUUAGCUAGUUGGUAGGGUAAUGGCCUACCAAGGCAGNGAUCAAUAGCCGGCCUGAGAGGGCGCACGGCCACACUGGAACUGAAACACGGUCCAGACUCCUACGGGAGGGCAGCAGUGGGGAAUUUUGCGCAAUGGGGGAAACCCUGACGCAGCAACGCCGCGUGGAGGAU
This 369-nucleotide ribosomal RNA is filed under the name uncultured bacterium. RNAcentral's name for it is "bacterial SSU rRNA". It matches the Rfam family "Bacterial small subunit ribosomal RNA", at positions 32 to 409 of the family's 1533-position model. The record is from RNAcentral.